This 332-nucleotide ribosomal RNA is filed under the name uncultured bacterium. RNAcentral describes it as "bacterial SSU rRNA". It matches the Rfam family "Bacterial small subunit ribosomal RNA", at positions 568 to 898 of the family's 1533-position model. The record is from RNAcentral.
CGUGUAGGCGGUUGGUCAAGUCUGGUGUGAAAGCCCGGGGCUUAACCCCGGAAGGGCACUGGAAACUAGCCAGCUGGAGCGCGAGAGAGGAGGGUGGAAUUCCUGGUGUAGCGGUGAAAUGCGUAGAUAUCAGGAGGAACACCGGCGGCGAAGGCGGCCCUCUGGCUCGUUGCUGACGCUGAGACGCGAAAGCGUGGGGAGCAAACAGGAUUAGAUACCCUGGUAGUCCACGCUGUAAACGAUGGGUACUAGGUGUUCGGGGUAUUGACCCCCUGAGUGCCGGCGCUAACGCAUUAAGUACCCCGCCUGGGGACUACGGCCGCAAGGUUAAA